This 683-nucleotide ribosomal RNA is filed under the name uncultured Candidatus Saccharibacteria bacterium. RNAcentral describes it as "bacterial SSU rRNA". It matches the Rfam family "Bacterial small subunit ribosomal RNA", at positions 782 to 1482 of the family's 1533-position model. The record is from RNAcentral. Lineage: Bacteria; Candidatus Saccharimonadota.
AUACCCCGGUAGUCCACGCUGUAAACGAUGGAUGCUAGCAGUGUGCCGUAUCGACCCGGUGCGUUGCGAAGCUAACGCAUUAAGCAUCCCGCCUGAGUAGUACGAUCGCAAGAUUAAAACUCAAAGGAAUUGACGGGGACCCGCACAAGCGGUGGAGCGUGUUGUUUAAUCGGAUGGUAAGCCUAGAACCUUACCAGGGUUUGACAUCCUUGGAAUUUCGCCGAAAGGUGAGAGUGCUUUAUUGAGCCAAGUGACAGGUGAUGCAUGGCCGUCGUCAGCUCGUGUCGUGAGAUGUUUGGUUAAGUCCAUCAACGAGCGCAACCCUUAUGGUUAGUUGGAUUUUUCUAGCCAGACUGCCUCGGUAACGGGGAGGAAGGAGGGGAUGAUGUCAGGUCGUUAUUUCCCUUACACCCUGGGCUACAAACGCGNUNCAAUGGNCGGUACAAUGGGCAGCCAAGCUGUGAAGCGGAGCAAAUCCCAUCAAAGCCGGUCCCAGUUCGGAUAAGAGGCUGAAACUCGCCUCUUUGAAGUCGGAAUCGCUAGUAAUCUGCAGGUCAGCACANUGCGGUGAAUACGUUGCCCGGGUCUUGUACACACCGCCCGUCAAGCCAUGAAAGGUCACCAACACCCGAAGUCGUGAAUUGUACUUCAGGCCUAAGGUGGUGCGGGGAUAUAUUGGGGUU